Molecule: long non-coding RNA, 5058 nt
Organism: Felis catus (domestic cat)
Lineage: Eukaryota; Metazoa; Chordata; Mammalia; Carnivora; Felidae
Exons: 3
Source: RefSeq, a predicted model, not a curated record
GUCUGGCCAAUCAGCAUAUCAAAUCCCUCUGCCCUUAGUGAUUGGUUGAGGGGUGGGCCAAUCAGAGCCGCUGAGCCUCCAUUGCAGGACUCGUGUGGGAACCAUGGAAAAGGAAGCCGUUUCUUGCUGGGCGUAGCUGAGAGGCUGGCAUGGGAACCUCGAAGGGCGGCUGCAGCUGUCUUACCAGCAGAGGAGACGCAUCUGCUUGUAGGUGGAGCCCACACAGAGGAAAUCACAGCCCCCAAAUGGAGGGAAUGAAACGGAUGACGUCACCGGCGGCCCCCCCCCCCCCCAUUUGUGCCAGAGACCCCUGGCUUUUCAGUUACUUGAACCAGUGGAUUCCCUUUUCCUCUGUCGCCAGGUUGAGUUUCCUUUUGCAUUUCCCGCGACCAAAAAUGGACACUGCCUUCAGCAAGUGCCAAGUAACAGUGCGUCCAGGCCCUAGAAGACAAGCCAUGCUCCGCCAGUUUCCUUUCUCUCGAGUGGGAGUCUGCCCGGGCCCUGCAUGUUCUUUGACGAGUGUCUUUUGCUCCCCAUCCCUUCGCUUGCUGUUCCCCCAGCCCUGGAACCACCGUGGCCCCCCGUCGUCCAGCUGACGCUUGGAACCCGUGGAGUGGAACGUUGUGUUAUUCAACUUUCUCCAGCGUCAGCCCACUGGUUUUCUGUCUCGGGUGACGUGGGCUGAACGCAAAACACCACAGCCUGCUGGUUUGAAUUCCACCGCCUGCCUUCAUCGGCCUGACUGUGUACAUGUAGCUGGGUGGCAAAUGCCAUAUCCGUCUGAUGGCUCCGAGCCACAAUUUCACCCUGUCACUGAUACCCAUUAUGUCAUUUUGGAAAAUGCAGGGAUCCGGGCUGUCCAAUCUCUCCAAAUAUAUGAUUAUAAACAGAUAAAUACACAUUUAAAAUCCAUUCUUACUUUGGCGGGAUCUGAGAAGAAAAUGCGGUCUUUGUGGUUGUUUUCCCAUAGAAACGAGAAGAAAGCCGGAUGGCACACCAUCAAUAUCACAAGCAACGAUGAAACACAAAUACCGUGACCUCCAUGAAGACGAGUUUUGUGACUUUCUGUAAACCACAGGCCUCAGUGCCUGAAAGAGGGUUUUCUGUAACCAGCAGAGGCUACAGCAAACAGAAUCAAUCUCCCACUCAGAUAUAUCCAUUUGAUGUCCUUCCUUCCUUCCCCACUGUACUUUGGAGCAGCCGUAUUGCCUGAAGGUAUGAGAAAGGUUGAGAACGGAGAGAGGGAAUGGAUAGAAAUAAUAGGUCCAUCCUCUGAAAAAUAAAAUAUUCAGUGACUUCACAAGACACCUGAUACUUAACUUCUUUGGUGAACCGCUCCCUCACCCCCCUCAAGGAAUCUGACAAACCCCUCUAGAUAAUUUAGGCUACCUUGAGAAACCAGGAUAUUUUUCUUAAAAGCUAAAAUAAAUCUGGUAUCGUCAUAAAGGACAAAAGUGGAGAGAAGGGGGAGUAUUCAGGUGUCUGAAGUCCAAGAAGACGGUGAGGCUGACACAGGAAGAGAUGAACAAUGGCAGAGCAGAGCUGACGGCCCUUGGGUGGGGGGAGACUCCUCAGCACCUGCCUUGACCUGUCUCCUGGGAAGGCUGCCUGGAAGAAGAGGCAUUCCUCUCAUGAGGGAAUUGACUUCUUACUUCAUCAAGCGUGGCAUCAAAACAUUGCUUAGAUGGAGCUCAGGGCCUUCCCACGGAAUAUUUUGCCAGAUCUCCUCGCUUUCAACUGAUAGUGAUGCCGGCCAUGCACAUGCACCUCUUAGAUCACCAACUGCAAGGAGGAGUGUAAUUGGCAGUGGUCCCCGCUGAAGACCGUCUCCCUGUUUGCACCAUGCUUUCCACUCAGCGCUCUCGGCAGGUGCCUGAGCUUGGUGGGAAUUCUAAGGAAGGCCGUUCCUGGAAGGCACUUCGUCCUCCGGCGGGAGGACUUGGUCUCCCCAGGGGCCUUGGCAAACCUUUCUUAGAAUGGCUCUGCGGACGAAGACUCUCCCUCCCCUGCUCCUUCGGCCCUUUCUCCUCCACACCUGGGACAUGCAUAGCUACCUCAGGGCCCUCCCAGCUUCCUCUGGCUAUAUCCCUAUUUUCUCUCUAGGCAUUUCCCCCAAAGAAUCUCCUACACAACUAAUCCUGUUUUGGUAUCUGAUUAUCAAAGGACCUGAACUAACGCAGAACUAUACUUUCUGAAAGUAGGUAAAUUUGCUUUCGUUUUUGUUUUUGUUUUUGAUUGUGCAUAAGGUUCUUUAUAUGGCAGAUAGUGAGGUGAGGUGGGAAAAACUUAAUUAGGAGCGUGGGCUUGUAGGUCCAAAGGCCUGAGUUCACAUCCCCUCCCUGGGCUCCUUCCAUUUCUGUGUCCUUGAACAUGGUAUUUAGCCUUGCUCCCUAGCUAAACCUGUUUCUUUAUCAGCAAAAUGGAGAUGAUAAGUUACCUACUUCAUAGAAUUGUUUCAAGAUUAAAAGGAUAUUACGUGAAUGCGAGAUUUCAAGCGCACGUAACGAGAGUUGCUCUUCAUUGAGGGCUUUCUACGUUUACUACGAUUACUCACUUAAUCCUCACAAUUUUUAUAUGGGGUAUCCAACUUUACCGAUCAGAAAAGCAGGGUGCAGAGGGGGUGAGAGGCAGAGCCAGCAUUUGAGGCCGAGCUCCAGAGCCCGAGGUCUCUAACUGUACCCCGUGUCCUUCCCCAAAUAGCAAAUGCUUGGGAAAUAGCUCGCUGUGGUUUCAUCAUUAAAUCGGGGGGAGUUUUCCACUUUCUGUUCCUGUGACUUUGACGAGAGUCUUCAACCAAAAACAAAGUUGUGACUUUGCAGAGGUGACCUGAGGCAGGGUCUGUACAAGGCCCAGCACCACGCCUGGUGUUUCGUAUGCGCUCACUGAAUUGUAGCUAUUAUAAUUACCACUAUUAUUCCUCUCUCUUAGCAGUAUCGCCGUGAAGGAACGAUGGGCUGUGUGUCCCUCGCUUCGGAGGGGGCGUCUGCCAGGUGGGAACUGAAAUGCACCGGGAAGGGGCGGAGUUAUCACUGCUCCUGUUACUAUAGCAGAUAUCUCAGUCUAUCUUUUGCAAGCCUGCGUCGCUUUAUGGGAACUUUGCCCCGUUCUCACUCCUCCCUGUCUGGCUCAAUCUGCUGCCUGCCCAGGGCCAUCAAUAAUAUAUGUCCCCGUGGGCGGCUGAAAGACAUUAAGGACACAUGGUGAUGGAUCAGAGUGCUGGUCGCCCUCUGCAUGCAGACUGCGUGGGAGACUGGGGCUGGAGGCCGUCAUGGCCAGCCUCCAACUGGGGGGCAGCGGGGGGCAACUCCACUGACAGCAGCUGCUGCGGAGCCCAGAUGUGUGCGUGGCGGCCUCGUCUUCGUACGCUUAUUCUAGCACAGACAUGCACGUGUUCUUUCUUCCUAAAAUAGCAGGGAGGAAAUAGAAAAUGCAUGUUGCACAAUUCUUUUUCACUCUCCUUUCCAUUCUGUGUCAUGCUUUAUUAACACGGUCAAACCGAAAUCAGACAGGUGUUCCGAGACAUCAUAGGCUAGGUUGUUAACAGGCCAGGUGUGUUCUUGGCCUUGGCCUUCUCUCCUCGUUGCCCCUCCAGUGCCUCUCGACAUCCUCGUCCCCACAGACGCACCUCAACAUCCACCUCCCUACUUGGCUUGCAGGCGUAUGGGAUCUGCGGCUUACUCUCUCCGAGUUCUGGUUAAUACUUAAUCCCUUCCACUCACUCAUGAGAUUCAGUUGUACAGAUGUACGAACACCUGGAGUGUGGAAGGACACGUGCGCUCCCCGCCUUCCCGGGACUUCACACCGGUGGUGCUCUCGCUUCUGCGGGCAACAGAAUCGCCUGCAGGGCUGGCUUUGAAAACACACACCGCUGGGCUCCACCUCCGGAGCUUUCCAUUCAGCGGACGUGGAGUGGGUCUGAUCUUUUGCUCUUCUAACGUUCCCCAGGGGCUGCUGUGCUGCUAGUCCUGGGGCCGCACGUCGAGGCCACUGGCUGGUCUGAGACCCACACACGUCCGCAGGCAUUGAGGUAACUGGCACCACAGAGGCUGUGUGGCUGUGUUGGCAGAGGCCGAUUUCUGAAUGGGUCAUCCCGGAGGGGGUGACCUCUUUGCAGGCUCACGGGGGGCUCCUGCAGAUGGGGUGGUCGAGAAGUAGUUUUCAUGAGGUACAUGCAGAUACUGAGGCAGAGGAGGGGGAGUCUCGGGGCAGGCAGCAGGGUUGGCCUUCUUAAAAUUCCCUUGUUGACUGUCUCCAUGACGUUGGCCAGUACUUACUGUGCCCCAGGAGCAGCCCCCAGCUGGGGAUGGGCUUUCUUGCCCCUCAGGCGGGACACCUCUUAGGCGUGCUCUGCAUAGUCUCCUGCGAUCCCAGCAGGACAGAAACCCAGUUGCCCACAACGGUAACCUGAUUCUUAAUGCCUGUACAGGCAUCCUUCCUUUCCUAGUCUCAAUUCUCCAUUCUCCUCGGGGCGCCUCCUGGGAUCAUCUCCCAAAUAAAUUACUUGCACUCACUAACUUAUCUCUGGAUUUGCUUCUGGGGAAACCCAAAUGAAAACACCUGCUAAACAAUCAGUCAAGCGUCAUGUCAGAAGAAAGACAUUUCCAGACGUGCAGAGUGUUUAGGAACCUUUUCAAGGAAGGUGUCAGAGAAUGUGCUCUCCCAAAAUGGGGCCACGCAUCAAACAAGAGGAAGACAUGCCAUACAGAAAGCAGCUCUCAGUGAAGGAAGGGGGGUGAAGAAAGCCCUGAGGGUGCAGGUGUGUACAGCUGGGUGACAGCUGGGAGCCGGGCACACAGGGCCACCGGGUCAGCCUGGAGCACAGCUGAAUGCUCUGGGAGAGAGCGUCCUUAGGCAGAGAAACUUGACAAAGUUCUGAAUGCAUUUGGACUCCUUGGGAAGGGUGUUUAGAUGAUUGUUUGUCAGUUUGGUCUUAAAUUAGUGAUAAGAACAUAGUGUACCAUGCAGACUUUUUAAAAAGAAAAGGACAAUUCAAGUCUAGGAAAAACACAAAGUUAUGAGUUAGCUAUGUUAUAAAAUGGUAGUGUUGACUGAUCCAAU